AUGCUUCAGUGCAACUCCGGCGGCCACCGGCGAAGCUCCAUUGCAGCAGUGGUGGCCCCCGGCGAAGCUCAUUGUAGCACUGGACGGCUCUCGACGGAGCUUCAUUGCAGCACCGCCACUGGAAUGGUGGUGCUCUACCGCAGCACCCCGACGACCGCCGCAGCGCUUCACUGCAGCUUCCACGUCUUCAUUGCAACCUCGCCGGAGCUCCGACGACCGGCGCUUCACUGCAGCUUCGACGGUGCUUCGUUGCAACCUCGCCGGAGCUCCGACGACCGCCGCGGCGCUUCACUGCAGUUUCGACGACGCUUCAUUACAACCUCGCCGCACCCGAUGGGAGCCGGCGAAGCUUCACUGCAGCACAACGCGACGGCGGCGAGGUGCUGCGACGAAUCAGGCGGUGGCGACGAAGAUAUUGCGACGCAGCACGCGGUGCCGCCGGAGCCCGAUGUUGCCCUGCUCCUCUCCUCAGCUUCCCGAUUGUAG
Molecule: ribosomal RNA, 486 nt
Filed under: Triticum aestivum (bread wheat)
Lineage: Eukaryota; Viridiplantae; Streptophyta; Magnoliopsida; Poales; Poaceae
Description: partial small subunit ribosomal RNA
Source: RNAcentral